RNAcentral lists this ribosomal RNA (475 nucleotides) under uncultured bacterium. RNAcentral describes it as "bacterial SSU rRNA". It matches the Rfam family "Bacterial small subunit ribosomal RNA", at positions 29 to 506 of the family's 1533-position model. The record is from RNAcentral.
UUGAACGCUGGCGGCAUGCUUUACACAUGCAAGUCGAACGGUAACAGGUUAAGCUGACGAGUGGCGAACGGGUGAGUAAUGCAUCGGAACGUACCCAGUCGUGGGGGAUAACUACGCGAAAGCGUAGCUAAUACCGCAUACGCCCUGAGGGGGAAAGCGGGGGAUCGCAAGACCUCGCGUGAUUGGAGCGGCCGAUGUCGGAUUAGCUAGUUGGUGGGGUAAAGGCCUACCAAGGCGACGAUCCGUAGCGGGUCUGAGAGGAUGAUCCGCCACACUGGGACUGAGACACGGCCCAGACUCCUACGGGAGGCAGCAGUGGGGAAUUCUGGACAAUGGGCGAAAGCCUGAUCCAGCCAUGCCGCGUGAGUGAAGAAGGCCUUCGGGUUGUAAAGCUCUUUCAGCCGGAAAGAAAUCGCGCAGGCUAAUACUCUGCGUGGAUGACGGUACCGGAAGAAGAAGCACCGGCUAACUACGU